CACUGUACGAGUUUGAUCAUGGCUCAGGGCGAACGCUAGCGCGGGCUUAACACAUGCAAGUCGAGCGGAGAGCUUCGGCUCUCAGCGGCGAACGGGUGAGUAACACGUAGGUCACGUACCCUUUGAUGGGGAAUAACCUAGGGAAACCUGGGCUAAUACCGCAUAUGUCCUUCGGGAUGAAAGCCUUCGGGCGUCAGAGGAUCGGCCUGCGGCCCAUUAUUUAAUCCUAGUUGGUAGGGUAAUGGCCUACCAAGGGUACGAUGGGUAGCUGGUCUGAGAGGAUGAUCAGCCACACUGGAACUGAGACACGGUUCAGACUCCUACGGGAGGCAGCAGUGGGGAAUAUUGGACAAUGGGCGAAAGCCUGAUCCAGCCACGCCGCGUGGGUGAUGAAGGCCUUCGGGUUGUAAAGCCCUGUCGGGAGGGACGAAUCAAUGACGGUACCUCCCAAGAAAGCACCGGCUAACUCCGUG
Molecule: ribosomal RNA, 473 nt
Filed under: uncultured bacterium
Lineage: Bacteria
Description: bacterial SSU rRNA
Rfam family: Bacterial small subunit ribosomal RNA
Source: RNAcentral